GACAGAGGCCCCGAGCGUUAGGCGGAAUCACUGGGCUUAAAGCGCGUGUAGGCGGAGGGCUAAGUACCUUGUGAAAUCCCCGGGCUCAACCCGGGAACUGCUUGGUAUACUGGUCCUCUUGAGGCAUCUAGGGGCGAGCGGAACAAACGGUGGAGCGGUGAAAUGCGUAGAUAUCGUUUGGAACGCCAACGGAGAAAUCAGCUCGCUGGGGAUGUCCUGACGCUGAGACGCGAAAGCCAGGGGAGCGAACAGG
RNAcentral lists this ribosomal RNA (253 nucleotides) under uncultured bacterium. RNAcentral's name for it is "partial 16S ribosomal RNA". It matches the Rfam family "Bacterial small subunit ribosomal RNA", at positions 524 to 776 of the family's 1533-position model. The record is from RNAcentral.